GAUGAACGCUGGCGGCGUGCUUAACACAUGCAAGUCGAACGGAAAGGCUCCUGCUUGCAGGGGUACUCGAGUGGCGAACGGGUGACUAACACGUGGGUGAUCUGCCCUGCACUUCGGGAUAAGCCUGGGAAACUGGGUCUAAUACCGGAUAGGACGAUGGUUUGGAUGCCAUUGUGGAAAGUUUUUUCGGUGUGGGAUGAGCUCGCGGCCUAUCAGCUUGUUGGUGGGGUAAUGGCCUACCAAGGCGUCGACGGGUAGCCGGCCUGAGAGGGUGUACGGCCACAUUGGGACUGAGAUACGGCCCAGACUCCUACGGGAGGCAGCAGUGGGGAAUAUUGCACAAUGGGCGCAAGCCUGAUGCAGCGACGCCGCGUGGGGGAUGACGGCCUUCGGGUUGUAAACUCCUUUCGCUAGGGACGAAGCGCAAGUGACGGUACCUGGAGAAGAAGCACCGGCUAACUACGUG
Molecule: ribosomal RNA, 466 nt
Filed under: uncultured bacterium
Lineage: Bacteria
Description: partial 16S ribosomal RNA
Rfam family: Bacterial small subunit ribosomal RNA
Source: RNAcentral